RNAcentral lists this ribosomal RNA (440 nucleotides) under uncultured bacterium. RNAcentral's name for it is "partial 16S ribosomal RNA". It matches the Rfam family "Bacterial small subunit ribosomal RNA", at positions 338 to 795 of the family's 1533-position model. The record is from RNAcentral.
CCUACGGGUGGCAGCAGUGGGGAAUAUUGCACAAUGGGGGAAACGCUGAUGCAGCGAAGCCGCGUGAGGGAAGAAGUAUCUCGGUACGUAAAGCUCUAUCAGCAGGGAAGAAAAUGACGGUACCUGAAGAAGAAGCCCCGUCUAACUACGUGCCAGAAGCCGCGGUAAUACGUAGGGGGCAAGCGUUAUCCGGAUUUACUGGGUGUAAAGGGGGUGCAGGCGGGGAUUCAAGCCAGGAGUGAAAGCUCGGGGCCCAACCCCGGGACUGCUCUUGAAACUGCGUGGCUAGAGUGCAGGAGGGGCAGGCGGAAUGCCUGGUGUAGCGGUGAAAUGCGUAGAUAUCACGAAGAACACCGAUGGCGAAGGCAGCCUGCUGGACUGCAACUGACGUUGAGGCCCGAAAGCGUGGGGAGCGAACAGGAUUAGAUACCCCAGUAGUC